RNAcentral lists this transfer RNA (86 nucleotides) under Brevibacillus brevis. RNAcentral's name for it is "tRNA-Leu". It matches the Rfam family "tRNA". Rfam says of the family: Transfer RNA (tRNA) molecules are approximately 80 nucleotides in length. The record is from RNAcentral. RNAcentral also lists the same sequence under 20 other names. Lineage: Bacteria; Bacillati; Bacillota; Bacilli; Caryophanales; Paenibacillaceae.
GCGGUCGUGGCGGAAUGGCAGACGCGCUGGCUUCAGGUGCCAGUGGUGGCAACACCGUGGAGGUUCAAGUCCUCUCGACCGCACCA